RNAcentral lists this ribosomal RNA (466 nucleotides) under uncultured bacterium. RNAcentral describes it as "partial 16S ribosomal RNA". It matches the Rfam family "Bacterial small subunit ribosomal RNA", at positions 28 to 507 of the family's 1533-position model. The record is from RNAcentral.
GAUGAACGCUGGCGGCGUGCUUAACACAUGCAAGUCGAACGAUGAAGCCCAGCUUGCUGGGUGGAUUAGUGGCGAACGGGUGAGUAACACGUGAGUAACCUGCCCUUAACUCUGGGAUAAGCCUGGGAAACUGGGUCUAAUACCGGAUAGGAGCGUCCACCGCAUGGUGGGUGUUGGAAAGAUUUAUCGGUUUUGGAUGGACUCGCGGCCUAUCAGCUUGUUGGUGAGGUAAUGGCUCACCAAGGCGACGACGGGUAGCCGGCCUGAGAGGGUGACCGGCCACACUGGGACUGAGACACGGCCCAGACUCCUACGGGAGGCAGCAGUGGGGAGUAUUGCACAAUGGGCGCAAGCCUGAUGCAGCGACGCCGCGUGAGGGAUGACGGCCUUCGGGUUGUAAACCUCUUUCAGUAGAGAAGAAGCGAAAGUGACGGUACCUGCAGAAGAAGCACCGGCUAACUACGUG